GCUUAGCCCUAAACAUAGAUAGUACAAACACAACACUAUCCGCCAGAGAACUACAAGCGAAAAGCUCAAAACUCCAAGGACUUGGCGGUGCUUCAAACCAACCUAGAGGAGCCUGUCCUAUAAUCGAUACCCCACGUUCUACCUCACCCCCCCUCGAAACUCAGCCUAUAUACCGCCGUCGCCAGCCUACCUUGUGAAAGAAACAAAGUAAGCAAAACAAUUAAUAACUAACACGUCAGGUCAAGGUGUAGCACAUGGGGCGGCAGAGAUGGGCUACAUUUUUUCUAAAACACACACGAACAGCACACUGAAACAUGUGCCUAAAGGUGGAUUUAGUAGUAAGAUAGACAAGAAAAACUAUCUUAAACCAGCCCUGAAGCGCGC
This 384-nucleotide ribosomal RNA is filed under the name Tropidophorus baviensis (Bavi water skink). RNAcentral's name for it is "partial 12S rRNA". It matches the Rfam family "Bacterial small subunit ribosomal RNA", at positions 794 to 1384 of the family's 1533-position model. The record is from RNAcentral. Lineage: Eukaryota; Metazoa; Chordata; Lepidosauria; Squamata; Scincidae.